This 74-nucleotide transfer RNA is filed under the name Candidatus Staskawiczbacteria bacterium RIFCSPHIGHO2_01_FULL_37_17. Its description in RNAcentral is "tRNA-Ala". It matches the Rfam family "tRNA". Rfam says of the family: Transfer RNA (tRNA) molecules are approximately 80 nucleotides in length. The record is from RNAcentral. Lineage: Bacteria; Candidatus Staskawicziibacteriota. RNAcentral also lists the same sequence under 11 other names.
GGGCUUAUAGUACAGUGGUAGUACGCCGCAUUCGCAUUGCGGAGACGCGAGUUCGACUCUCGCUAAGUCCACAA